GACGAACGCUGGCGGCGUGCUUAACACAUGCAAGUCGAACGGUAAGGCCCUUCGGGGUACACGAGUGGCGAACGGGUGAGUAACACGUGGGUGAUCUGCCCUGCACUUCGGGAUAAGCCUGGGGAAACUGGGUCUAAUACCGGAUAGGACCCUGGGAUGCAUGUCCUGGGGUGGAAAGCUUUUGCGGUGUGGGAUGGGCCCGCGGCCCAUCAGCUUGUUGGUGGGGUGAUGGCCUACCAAGGCGACGACGGGUAGCCGGCCUGAGAGGGUGACCGGCCACACUGGGACUGAGAUACGGCCCAGACUCCUACGGGAGGCAGCAGUGGGGAAUAUUGCACAAUGGGCGCAAGCCUGAUGCAGCGACGCCGCGUGAGGGAUGACGGCCUUCGGGUUGUAAACCUCUUUCAGCGCCGACGAAGCGCAAGUGACGGUAGGUGCAGAAGAAGGACCGGCCAACUACGUGCCAGCCGCCGCGGUAA
RNAcentral lists this ribosomal RNA (479 nucleotides) under uncultured bacterium. Its description in RNAcentral is "partial 16S ribosomal RNA". It matches the Rfam family "Bacterial small subunit ribosomal RNA", at positions 28 to 523 of the family's 1533-position model. The record is from RNAcentral.